RNA transcript from Hevea brasiliensis (rubber tree), 2138 nucleotides. RefSeq lists it as uncharacterized. NCBI's taxonomy places the organism in Eukaryota, Viridiplantae, Streptophyta, Magnoliopsida, Malpighiales, Euphorbiaceae. The record is from RefSeq and is a predicted model, not a curated record. The transcript is spliced from 7 exons.
AGUUAAAGAAAAUAAAAAUAAAAUAAAUUGAGAGAUUAGAUUGACGUAGAAUUAACCCUAAUUCUGAUGGAUUUGGCGUAUGCAUAUUGGGCGAAAACUUUCCAUAAAAUCAGCCAAUGAUUUUCAAAUGUUUAGCAGAAGGAAUUCGCUUUCCUUCAUUCCCUUUCGUUUUCCCCCAAACAAGGAAAAACCUAUAAAUCGCAAAAAACUGUUCUUUCAGAGGCAGCUCUACCCGGACAAUGGACUCUGAAGAAAUGGACCCAGACAUCGUUCUAUGGAUCAUCGAGUUCCUAGCUCGGCAAGACUCAGUCUCUAAACUUGUUCUCAACAGGAUUCUCACAAAUACCCAUAUCCCCAUUUUGGCAACUCCACGCUUGAAGAAGACACUCGCUCUCCGCGCAAUCCAGGACGAAAUUGCCGACGGCUCCGUUUCCUCUGAAAUCAUUCUUGAAUCCCUCGAAAUCAUUGAACAAUUGGAUCAGAAGAAGGGAUUCAAGAUCCCAGACUCCAUGAAGCUCGCGUACUGCGCGGUUGCUGUGGACUGCACGGUGAAGCACUUGGGUGUUGUGGGAAGCAAACGCAAGCGUGACCCUGAGAUGUUUUUCGAGGCAGUGAAGACGAUUUGGAGUGAAAGAGUUGACAAGUUGGAGUUUUUGAAGAAAAGCGAGCUGGUUACUGAUGAGUUGAGGGAGUUUAAGGAGGAGAUGGAGGCGGCUUUGUGGGAUUCGAAUGCGUGUGGGAGGUUGUUGGAGAGGGCUACGCGAAAUGAAGCGUUAAGACUGGUUAUGGAUUAUUUAAAGGAGGCUUUGGAUGAAAUGGGUCGUCCAUUUCUUGAAUUGCUUGCCAGAGCUGAGAGGGAAAGGAAGGAGAAGGAAAUGGUAGAGAAGGAAAAGAAUGCUGAUAAAGUUGGGGUGAAAGCAAGCAGGGAACCAGAAGUAGGUGUUGCAGAUGGGUCUGCAAGGAAAGAAACUCAGAACAAUGAUAUGCUUCAUACUAGCAACAACCUUAAAGGAUCAGGUGGCAUUAUGGAUUCUGAAAAAGUAGUCAUGAACAUUCCUACUCCUGAAGUUAAAAUAGUGAAAGAAGCACUUAAAUCCAGCUCCAUGGAGUUAAAAGCUUUGUUGAAUGACCCUCUACCCAAUGCUUUACAUUUGUCUGAGGCUUUAAUGCCUGAAAGAAAAGCCUUGAAUAAGGAGAUUUUAGUAGAAAAUCAGGUUGGAAAGGGUGUAGAUGUGCCCAAUCCUUCCGUUAAUGUUGUAGUCUCCAUAGAAACACCCAAUCCAUCAGUUACUCAAACUAUUGAAUCCAUUCAAACUAUGAAGAAUGGUGCUGGAAUUCAAAUUUGUAACAAUCAGAUUGUUGUUUCCAAACACAGCUUAAUGGAGAAGAAUAGUACUGCUCGUACCUAUGAGUGGGAUGAUUCAAUUGAUGGUUCACCUGAAGGUGCCAGUGGUAUGAACAGAUUUCAGUUAGCUAAGCCAAGGACAAAGGUUGUGUCUCCAUUGAAGGAGUAUAAAAUCCCUAAGUUUGCUGGAAGGAGAAAAGUCAAGAGGUGGAGCGUGGAAGAGGAAGAUGCAUUGAGGGAGGGUGUGCAAUUGUUUGGUAGAGGAAACUGGAAGGCUAUCUUAGACUUUAAGCGUGACAUAUUUUAUGACAGAACUGAGGUUGAUUUGAAGGACAAGUGGAGAAACAUGACAAAAUAGCAACCUGCAUAAACCUAUUUUGUUAAUUUUGAUGAAGGUAGGUCCAAUCUACUCAACUGCAACUUAUCCAACCUACCUGAAAGGUCAGUUUUCAGGUUAUUUCCAAAGAUGAUGAGGUUCUUUCUUUCGAAGUAUGCAGUCUAUUAUUGCUCGGACUCGUACUCUGCAUAUGUGUUUCCUUCUUCUUUUCAUGAUUUCAGUGUGGGUUUUUCUACCUUUUUGUGAUAUACUGGUGUUGAUGUAAAUGGUUUUUUAUUAGGGGAGGGUUGGAGGUCAGGUCUGUUAAAAAAUGUUUAUAAUCUCAUAUUAAAUUUUGUACUUUAGUUUUUUUUUACUUUGUAGCUGUUAAUGUGAAUGAGUGCCAUUUGUGGCCUGCAUGUCUUUGGAUUAUGAACUUAUUAUCCAUAAUUAUAUUUGGCAUGUUUGAGACUCCUA